Molecule: transfer RNA, 71 nt
Filed under: Kalasha nativa
Lineage: Eukaryota; Metazoa; Arthropoda; Insecta; Hemiptera; Cicadellidae
Description: tRNA-Pro
Source: RNAcentral
CAGUAAGUAGUUUAAAUUUAGAAUUUAGGUUUUGGGUUCUUGCGAUGUAUAUUUAUAUUAUACUUUACUGA